CACGUAGGGGGCGAGCGUUGUCCGGAUUUAUUGGGCGUAAAGAGCUCGUAGGCGGCUCAGUAAGUCAGGUGUGAAAACUCCAGGCUCAACCUGGAGACGCCACCUGAUACUGCUGUGGCUAGAGUCCGGUAGGGGAGCAUGGAAUUCCUGGUGUAGCGGUGAAAUGCGCAGAUAUCAGGAGGAACACCGAUGGCGAAGGCAGGUCUCUGGGCCGAUACUGACGCUGAGGAGCGAAAGCGUGGGGAGCGAACAGG
RNAcentral lists this ribosomal RNA (254 nucleotides) under uncultured bacterium. Its description in RNAcentral is "partial 16S ribosomal RNA". It matches the Rfam family "Bacterial small subunit ribosomal RNA", at positions 524 to 776 of the family's 1533-position model. The record is from RNAcentral.